Long non-coding RNA from Aquila chrysaetos chrysaetos, 1436 nucleotides. RefSeq lists it as uncharacterized. Lineage: Eukaryota; Metazoa; Chordata; Aves; Accipitriformes; Accipitridae. The record is from RefSeq and is a predicted model, not a curated record. The transcript has 3 exons.
UCAUAAGGCAAAUGACAAAGUCCAGUAAACCACUGAGAUGAAGACAAUCACACUAUAAAAUGACAAGACACAAUACAAAAUUUAUCUUUGACAGCUUCAGCUCUAUGUGUCUCUAUGUUUCUUUCCUUAUUGUAAGCAAGCCCUGAAGUUUAACAGGUCCAUUGCAGCAGCAGUUAUUUUGCUUGUUCAUUUCAUUUGUCCUUGCCCCAGAGAAAACAGUAGAUAAAGCCUCUGGCCUGCCAAUCUACUCACUACAUCUGUAAAAGACAGCCCUAUUGAUUUCCCAAGGUUGUGAGAGAGCCAACAGAUUUAUACCAAACAAAGCCAACACCAAAAUACCAAUGAAGGGGCAAGAAGAAGAAAUGAAACAACUGACAUGACAGUUGGAUGUUGAGAAGAACAUAAUAGAUAAGUGAGUAACAACAUUUUAAAAAAAAGGAAAACAUAUAUUUCACAGUAGUACCUAACACUAUGAAACUCUGGUAAGAUGUACAAGAAGGUCAAGUUCUCUGAAGUUGGUACGUAUGUGUGUUAGCUUCAAGAUGAAUAAUUUAAAAAAAAAAGUAAAAUUCAGUGCAAAUGUAAAUCCCGCUUGCUCAGCUGAAACAUAGAGUAGGCUUUUUCCUCCCAGUACCCCAGAGAAAGAAUAAGCAAACAAAACAGUCCUUUUUCCCUUGGAGAAGAGAAAGAUUACAGUUGUUUUAAAAAAAAAAAAAAUUGAGAAAAAGGAGGGGGGGAGUCUGGGAAGUAGUGACACAGGGUCCUAAAAGGAAAAAAAAAAAAAAAAAAAAAAAAACAGAAAAGAAAAACUGUAAACUGCAGGCACCCCCCCCCCCCCCCAAAAAAAGAAGAAACCAAAAAACCUUUUAGAUGCCAAGUCCAAAUGAAAUCAACUUCCAUGGGAAUUAAAUGCCUAAAUACCUUUAUAGAUCUGUUUCCUCACUGCUUGUCCUAGAAAAUCAGGAAACCAAAGAGAAGUGUGACCAGCGUGGAAAAAACAGACGAUUCGCUCCAGCUGUACCCCAAAUUUCAUCAAUGGAGCACAACGAGGAAGCACCCAAAACUUGUUAACCGCACGGGGAACUGGAAAACACUGUAACCGAAAGAUGAAAAAAGAAAAUAUGUGUUUAGAAAAUACCUGCUCUCUGCUCGUUGGCUUCAGUAGUGUACAAGAUUCCCAUGCCGCUGCAGCUAGGAACCAAGAAGAUGGCCUGAGGAUAGCUGUACUUUCAACAGCAAUAAGCUGAAGCCCUUUCACGCUCUGCAGUGGACUACGGACCCUACAACACAAUUUCAUGAUCCUGUCAUAGAGCCUGCUGGGGCAUACGGGGGCAAACAAAGGUUGCAAAGUCAACCUCAGCACUGGUAUUUCCCAGCUCGUUUGUUUGCCUUUUAAUAGCAAGGUCCUGGAAAUACAAGUUUGAAUUUUCAAGAUA